RNAcentral lists this long non-coding RNA (564 nucleotides) under Brassica rapa (field mustard). RNAcentral describes it as "long non-coding RNA (BRAP_LNC003549)". Lineage: Eukaryota; Viridiplantae; Streptophyta; Magnoliopsida; Brassicales; Brassicaceae. The record is from RNAcentral.
AAAAUUAUAGUGUAGCACUGGAAAUGGUCUCAGGUGAUAUCUUGAUUAAAAUAAUUAAGCGGGGAUUUAGGUAAUAUUUAUAUUUUAUAAAACGUUUCAUUUACUAUAUUCCGAUCUUCCAGUGAACUUUAUACAUUAUUCUCUAUUCACCUAAAGUCAGACAUUUCCCAUGGACCAGGACUACAAUAUACUUUUAAAUGGCAAUGAUAUCCUGUUUAUUCAAUGACUUCCAAAAAUUAAUACAGGCCGUGGUUUAUAAAAAAAAAAAAAAUUCCCGUUACAAAAAAAAACACAUAUGCAGUUUAUCAAUAUGAAUUGCAUACGUGUGAUAUAAAUGAUGAAUUUUAAACCUCUGGUUUAUAAGACAUAAUUACAUUGAUUAAGAAAACAAUUUCAAUUGACAGAUCCGGCAUGAUUUAAUUAAUUGUUUAGGAGUAUUUACGUGAUUUAGUUGUACGUUGGGUGGAUUUAUUUGGUAUUCAAGAAUCUUUGCUUCUCUCUAUACACACACGUAUAUAUUAUAUAUACAAUCUUGUAUAUAAAAAAACGCCCCCUUCGAGUUCG